GCCAGAGCAAUUAGACGAAAGAAAUUAAAGGCAUAAAGAUAGGAAAAGAAGAACUUAAAUUAUCACUAUUUGUGGAUGAAAUGAUCCUAUACCUAGCAGACCCAAAAAUUUCUACAAAGAAACUACUUGAGCUAAUAAAUGAAUUCAGCAAAGUGGCAGGAUAUAAAAUCAGUGCGCAUAAAUCAAAGGCAUUCCUGUACAUCAGUGACAAAUCUUCUGAAAUGGAAAUGAGGACAACCACCCCAUUCACAAUAUCCUCAAAAAAAAAUAAAAUACUUGGGAAUCAACCUAACAAAAGAGAUGAAAGAUUUAUACAAUGAAAACUACAGAACCCUAAAGAGAGAAAUAGAAGAAAAUCUUAGAAGAUGGAAAAAUAUACCCUGUUCAUGGAUAGGCAGAACUAACAUCAUCAAAAUGGCGAUAUUACCAAAAGUUCUCUAUAGGUUUAAUGCAAUGCCAAUCAAAAUCNAUCCUGGGAACAAAUUUUUACUCCUCACACUUCAGAUAGAGCCCUAAUAUCCAGAGUAUACAAAGAACUCAAAAAAUUAAACAAUAAGGAAACAAAUAACCCAAUCAACAAAUGGGCCAAGGACCUGAACAGACACUUCUCAGAGGAGGACAUACAAUCAAUCAACAAGUACACGAAAAAAUGCUCACCAUCUCUAGCAGUCAAAGAAAUGCAAAUUAAAACCUCCCUAAGAUACCAUCUCACUCCAGUAAGAAUGGCAGCCAUUAUGAAGUCAAACAACAACAAGUGCUGGCGAGGAUGUGGGGAAAAGGGUACACUUGUGCAUUGCUGGUGGGACUGCAAAUUGGUGCGGCCAAUUUGAAAAGCAGUAUGGAGAUUCCUGGGAAAGCUGGGAAUGGAUCCACCAUUUGACUCAGCUAUUGCCCUUCUCGGACUAUUCCCCAAAGACCUUAAAAGAGCGUAAUAUAGAGAUACAGCUACAUCGAUGUUCAUAGCAGCACAAUUCACAAUAGCUAGAAUGUGGAACCAACCUAGAUGCCCUUCAGUAGAUGAAUGGAUUAAAAAAAUGUGGCAUUUAUACACAAUGGAGUAUUACUCAGCACUAAAAAAAUGACAAAAUCAUGGCAUUUGCAGGGAAAUGGAUGGCACUAGAGCAGAUUAUGCUAAGUGAAGCUAGCCAAUCCCUAAAAAACAAAUGCCAAAUGUCUUCUUUGAUAUAAGGAGGGCAACUAAGAACAGAGCAGGGAGGAAGAGCAUGAGAAGAAGAUUACCAUUAAACAGGGACCAGAGGUGGGAGGGAAAGGGAGAGAGAAGAGAAUUUGCAUGGAAAUGGAAGGAGACCCUCAUUGUUAUACAAAAUUACAUAUAAGAGGAAGUGAGGGGAAAGUAAAGGGAAAAAAAAAACAAGAGAGAGAAAUGAAUUACAGUAGAUGGGGUA
This 1406-nucleotide long non-coding RNA is filed under the name Marmota monax (woodchuck). Lineage: Eukaryota; Metazoa; Chordata; Mammalia; Rodentia; Sciuridae. The record is from RNAcentral.